RNAcentral lists this ribosomal RNA (446 nucleotides) under uncultured bacterium. Its description in RNAcentral is "partial 16S ribosomal RNA". It matches the Rfam family "Bacterial small subunit ribosomal RNA", at positions 338 to 795 of the family's 1533-position model. The record is from RNAcentral.
CCUACGGGUGGCAGCAGUCGAGAAUCAUUCACAAUGGGGGAAACCCUGAUGGUGCGACGCCGCGUGGGGGAAUGAAGGUCUUCGGAUGGUAAACGCCUGUCAUGUGGGAGCAAAUUAAAAAGAUAGUACCACAAGAGGAAGAGACGGCUAACUCUGUGCCAGCAGCCGCGGUAAUACAGAGGUCUCGAGCGUUGUUCGGGAUCACUGGGCGUAAAGCGUGCGUAGGCUGUUUCGUAGAUCGUGUGUGAAAGGCGCGGGCUCAACCCGCGGACGGCACAUGAUACUGCGAGACUGGAGUAAUGGAGGGGGAACCGGAAUUCCCGGUGUAGCAGUGAAAUGCGUAGAUAUCGGGAGGAACACUAGAGGCGAAGGCGGGUUCCUGGACAUAAACUGACGCUGAGGCACGAAGGCCAGGGGAGCGAAAGGGAUUAGAUACCCGGGUAGUC